GCCAGGUGUGGUGGCACGUGCCUGUAGUCCCAGCUACUCAGGAGGCUGAGGUGGGAGAAUCACUUGAGCCUGGGAGGUUGAGGCUGCAGUGAGCCGAGAUUGCACCACUGCACUCUAGCCUGGGCAACAGAGUGAGACCCUAACUCAA
RNAcentral lists this non-coding RNA (148 nucleotides) under Nomascus leucogenys (northern white-cheeked gibbon). Lineage: Eukaryota; Metazoa; Chordata; Mammalia; Primates; Hylobatidae. The record is from Rfam by way of RNAcentral.